GCCCUAAUAGCUUAAGCUGAGAGCAUAGCACUGAAGCUGCUAAGGUAAUGAGACGUCGUUUUAGAGCA
This 68-nucleotide transfer RNA is filed under the name Cymbiola nobilis. RNAcentral describes it as "tRNA-Phe". It matches the Rfam family "tRNA". Rfam says of the family: Transfer RNA (tRNA) molecules are approximately 80 nucleotides in length. Lineage: Eukaryota; Metazoa; Mollusca; Gastropoda; Neogastropoda; Volutidae. The record is from RNAcentral.